AAAACUUGUGUCGGUUUGCAAAUUGAGACGUUUGUUUUUAGCUGUUAAUUUUUUUUUUUUUGGUUCCGUUCUGUUAAUUCACCGCCCGCUUCCACGGAUUUGAUCUGACUCAGUGGCGCAUCAGGCAAUAGUGAAAUAUAUUCCUUAUUCUCUGAAAGAAGCCACCAAGGAAGGAUGGAUUACUCUACGCAGAACACCGAUCGGUACUCGAGGGAACGAGUUCUCCGUAGAUACAGACCAGGAUUUAACAUACUAAAUCAUGCUGAAUCGCACUUCGAGCCGUGGGAUAAUUCAUGGUCUUAAUGUUUCCCGGAUUAUUUUGAGGUGACAAUAGUUAGUGAGUAGUGAGAAGCAUCGGAAUUUUAUUUGUAAUAAUAAAUAAUAAUUUAAAAAUGAA
Molecule: long non-coding RNA, 397 nt
Organism: Uranotaenia lowii
Lineage: Eukaryota; Metazoa; Arthropoda; Insecta; Diptera; Culicidae
Exons: 3
Source: RefSeq, a predicted model, not a curated record